Molecule: ribosomal RNA, 791 nt
Filed under: uncultured archaeon
Lineage: Archaea
Description: bacterial SSU rRNA
Rfam family: Archaeal small subunit ribosomal RNA
Source: RNAcentral
ACUGCUCAGUAACACGUCGGUAACCUGCCCUGUGGUCGAGCAUAACCUCGGGAAACUGAGGGUAAUUCUCGAUAGGAGAUUUGGGCCUGGAAUGGUAUUUCUCCCAAACACGUGCCAUAGGAUGGGCCGGCGGCUGAUUAGGCUGUUGGUGGGGUAACGGCCCACCAAACCAAAGAUCAGUAUGGGCCUUGAGAGAGGUAGCCCAGAGAGGGACACUGAGAUACGGGUCCCAGCCCCACGGGGUGCAGCAGGCGCGAAACCUUUACAAUGCACGAAAGUGUGAUAGGGGGAUACUCAGUGCUUACGGCUCUGCUGUAGGCUUUUGUCGAUCGUAAACAGAUCGGCGAAUAAGUGGUGGGUAAGACCGGUGCCAGCCGCCGCGGUAACCCCGGCGCCACAAGUGGUCAUCGCGAUUAUUGGGCCUAAAGCGUUCGUAGCCGGCUUGGUAAAUCUCUUGUGAAAUUGUUCGGCUUAACCGGACAGCGCGCAGGAGACACUGCCAUGCUCGAGACCGGGAGGCGUAAGAAGUAUUCCAUGGGGACUGGUAAAAUGGGAUAAUCCAUGGAAGACUACCGAUGGCGAAGGCAUCUUACGAGAACGGAUCUGACGGUGAGGAACGAAAGCCAGGGGAGCGAACCGGAUUAGAUACCCGAGUAGUCCUGGCCGUAAACGCUGUGAGCUAGGUGCUGCGUAUCUCAUGAAGAUGCGCGGUGUCGAAAUGAAGAUGCUAAGCUCACCGCCUGGGAAGUACGGUCGCAAGACUGAAACUUUAAGGAAUUGGCGGGGGAGCA